Molecule: ribosomal RNA, 415 nt
Filed under: uncultured bacterium
Lineage: Bacteria
Description: bacterial SSU rRNA
Rfam family: Bacterial small subunit ribosomal RNA
Source: RNAcentral
AUUGAACGCUGGCGGCAUGCCUUACACAUGCAAGUCGAACGGCAGCACGGGAGCAAUCCUGGUGGCGAGUGGCGAACGGGUGAGUAAUAUAUCGGAACGUGCCCAGUCGUGGGGGAUAACGUAGCGAAAGCUACGCUAAUACCGCAUACGAUCUAUGGAUGAAAGCGGGGGAUCGCAAGACCUCGCGCGAUUGGAGCGGCCGAUAUCAGAUUAGGUAGUUGGUGAGGUAAAGGCUCACCAAGCCGACGAUCUGUAGCUGGUCUGAGAGGACGACCAGCCACACUGGGACUGAGACACGGCCCAGACUCCUACGGGAGGCAGCAGUGGGGAAUUUUGGACAAUGGGCGCAAGCCUGAUCCAGCAAUGCCGCGUGCAGGAUGAAGGCCUUGGUUGUAACUAGCUUUGUACGGUAACG